GUUGUUGUGAUGAGAAGCUAACAUGUAAGUAGAUCCCAUCUUAUUGCGGGGUUUUCAAUGAACUAUACUUGUUAGCUCUCACCCUCAACCAU
Gossypium arboreum is the source of this 92-nucleotide non-coding RNA. NCBI's taxonomy places the organism in Eukaryota, Viridiplantae, Streptophyta, Magnoliopsida, Malvales, Malvaceae. The record is from Rfam.